Molecule: ribosomal RNA, 466 nt
Filed under: uncultured bacterium
Lineage: Bacteria
Description: bacterial SSU rRNA
Rfam family: Bacterial small subunit ribosomal RNA
Source: RNAcentral
UCCUACGGGCGGCUGCAGUAGGGAAUCUUCCGCAAUGGACGAAAGUCUGACGGAGCAACGCCGCGUGAGUGAUGAAGGUUUUCGGAUCGUAAAACUCUGUUGUUAGGGAAGAACAAGUGCCGUUCGAAAGGGCGGCACCUUGACGGUACCUAACGAGAAAGCCACGGCUAACUACGUGCCAGCAGCCGCGGUAAUACGUAGGUGGCAAGCGUUGUCCGGAAUUAUUGGGCGUAAAGCGCGCGCAGGCGGUCUCUUAAGUCUGAUGUGAAAGCCCCCGGCUCAACCGGGGAGGGUCAUUGGAAACUGGGAGACUUGAGUACAGAAGAGGAGAGUGGAAUUCCACGUGUAGCGGUGAAAUGCGUAGAGAUGUGGAGGAACACCAGUGGCGAAGGCGACUCUCUGGUCUGUAACUGACGCUGAGGCGCGAAAGCGUGGGGAGCAAACAGGAUUAGAUACCCCGGUAGUC